GACCAGACUCCUACGGGAGGCAGCAGUGGGGAAUAUUGCACAAUGGGGGAAACCCUGAUGCAGCGACGCCGCGUGAGCGAUGAAGUAUUUCGGUAUGUAAAGCUCUAUCAGCAGGGAAGAAGAUGACGGUACCUGACUAAGAAGCCCCGGCUAACUACGUGCCAGCAGCCGCGGUAAUACGUAGGGGGCAAGCGUUAUCCGGAUUCACUGGGUGUAAAGGGAGCGUAGACGGCGACGCAAGUCUGGAGUGAAAGCCCGGGGCCCAACCCCGGGACUGCUCUUGGAACUGCGCGGCUGGAGUGCAGGAGGGGCAGGCGGAAUUCCUGGUGUAGCGGUGAAAUGCGUAGAUAUCAGGAGGAACACCGGUGGCGAAGGCGGCCUGCUGGACUGCAACUGACGUUGAGGCCCGAAAGCGUGGGGAGCAAACAGGAUUAGAUACCCCCGUAU
This 447-nucleotide ribosomal RNA is filed under the name uncultured bacterium. RNAcentral's name for it is "bacterial SSU rRNA". It matches the Rfam family "Bacterial small subunit ribosomal RNA", at positions 329 to 793 of the family's 1533-position model. The record is from RNAcentral.